GUGGGCUACGGCGAUAUGAAGCCCAUCACUGUCGGUGGGAAGAUCGUGGGCUCCCUGUGCGCCAUCGCGGGCGUGUUAACCAUUGCGCUGCCGGUGCCGGUCAUAGUGUCCAAC
Molecule: non-coding RNA, 114 nt
Organism: Takifugu rubripes (torafugu)
Lineage: Eukaryota; Metazoa; Chordata; Actinopteri; Tetraodontiformes; Tetraodontidae
Source: Rfam